CAAUUAGCUUCUAGAUAUCACACCUUGGGUAUUUGCGUUUCCCGGUUGAUAAUUGAGUGUAUAGUUAUAGAGAGUGUAUGGGAUAAGUUUCGGGACCGCAAAUCUCCCAGGUUCUUCACGCGAAUCCCCGCACCUCUGUACCCUUCCCUUCGAAGCUGACGCAUCGUUUGUGCAUACGCUGAAUUAAGAGCGUGUCUCGGCGCUUCUUAAUUUCUCCCCCGAUUCUGUUUCGCGUGUACACCCGACAACCGGUUAAGUCCGGGCGAUCUCGUUAAUCAAAAUUGAAGCUCAGACGGUUUUUGGCGGUAAGCUCUUCACGCCACGCGGACUUAUUUGCUCGUGAAAAGCAAACAUGAGAACAUGAAAGCCUGACACGGGAUGAUGCGAUAGCCGUGUUUUAUCUUCAUCAAGUUCGUGUAUCGAAGAAAAACAACAAACAACCUUCGAUCACCUUGCCAUUGGAAUGUCCGCAACCUACGUACACGUUGACAGACGAGUCCAUGUGCAAGUCUUUUUUCUCUAUUAAGGUGCGAAGACAAAUAUUGAAGGAGUUUUGGAUCAGAAUUAAAACGCGUUGAUGAUGGUAUUCUCUAGCAUGUGACCCGUACCCUGAAGAUCACUCGACUCAAAGACGCCAAGGGGAAUAUCAUUACAAAUCAUCGUUACACCGUUACCAACUUUCCAUUGAAACGCAUAGCCCGCCCUCUACGGCAACCCAUUGAAUGUAUGUCACCAUGGAGCCCGUGAGCCCCGCGAACCUGUACGAUGAU
Lytechinus variegatus (green sea urchin) is the source of this 770-nucleotide long non-coding RNA. RefSeq lists it as uncharacterized. The record is from RefSeq and is a predicted model, not a curated record. The transcript is spliced from 3 exons. Lineage: Eukaryota; Metazoa; Echinodermata; Echinoidea; Temnopleuroida; Toxopneustidae.